GAUGAACGCUAGCUACAGGCUUAACACAUGCAAGUCGCGGGGCAGCAUGGGGGUUGCUUGCAAUCCCCGAUGGCGACCGGCGCACGGGUGAGUAACGCGUAUCCAACCUGCCCUUCACCACGGGAUAACUCGGCGAAAGUCGGACUAAUACCGUAUGUUGUCCAUUGACGGCAUCCGAUUUGGACGAAAGGUUUGGCGGUGAAGGAUGGGGAUGCGUCCGAUUAGCUGGACGGCGGGGUGACGGCCCACCGUGGCGACGAUCGGUAGGGGUUCUGAGAGGAAGGUCCCCCACACUGGAACUGAGACACGGUCCAGACUCCUACGGGAGGCAGCAGUGAGGAAUAUUGGUCAAUGGGCGUAAGCCUGAACCAGCCAAGUAGCGUGCAGGAUGACGGCCCUAUGGGUUGUAAACUGCUUUUAUGCGGGGAUAAAGUGGCCCACGUGUGGGUUUUUGCAGGUACCGCAUGAAUAAGGACCGGCUAAUUCCGUG
RNAcentral lists this ribosomal RNA (490 nucleotides) under uncultured bacterium. RNAcentral's name for it is "partial 16S ribosomal RNA". It matches the Rfam family "Bacterial small subunit ribosomal RNA", at positions 28 to 507 of the family's 1533-position model. The record is from RNAcentral.